This 252-nucleotide ribosomal RNA is filed under the name uncultured bacterium. RNAcentral describes it as "partial 16S ribosomal RNA". It matches the Rfam family "Bacterial small subunit ribosomal RNA", at positions 524 to 775 of the family's 1533-position model. The record is from RNAcentral.
UACGAAGGGGGCUAGCGUUGCUCGGAAUUACUGGGCGUAAAGGGCGCGUAGGCGGAUGUUUAAGUCAGAGGUGAAAGCCCAGGGCUCAACCUUGGAACUGCCUUUGAUACUGGACAUCUUGAGUACGGGAGAGGUGAGUGGAACUCCGAGUGUAGAGGUGAAAUUCGUAGAUAUUCGGAAGAACACCAGUGGCGAAGGCGACUCACUGGCCCGUUACUGACGCUGAGGCGCGAAAGCGUGGGGAGCAAACAG